CUUCCGACCACGUCCUAUCCAUCUUUCCGUCGCGCACAGCCACGUUUACUCAAAUACGCACAAGGAGGAGACACAACAGAUGAAAGUGAUAAUGUUGAUGAUGAAAAUGAAAACGGGGAUGAUUCGAUUAAUAAUGAUAACUCAGAUUUAAGUUUAAAUACGUCUGAUACUUUAUCAUUAAUACAAACGAGAUCAUCUAAAUUGCCUAGCAAAGAAAAAAAUUAUCAAUAAUCAUCUACAUAAUAAUAUCGAGAAAACAAAAGGAAACCGUUUGGCUUCUAAGAGGAAAGUUAAUUAUAAUAUUAAAAAUGUGACCGAAUCAGAUGAUGAAUGUAAUACAGAAUCAGAUUUAAAUAUUUUAUCAAAAAGAGCAAAGCAAUCUGAACAGGUGACUAGAGGAAAGAAUAACGUAAAUAAUAAUACACAGAGGCAGAAAAAAAGAAUGACAUCUGUUGUUGGUUCUACAAGAAAUAGUACUCAUAAGAUCAGAUGGACGGAUGAUGAACGCACAAUAGUUUUAUCUUCAUUCCAACCUGCCAUAAAAAAUAAAAAAUUGCCAU
This is a non-coding RNA of Nylanderia fulva, 560 nucleotides long. Lineage: Eukaryota; Metazoa; Arthropoda; Insecta; Hymenoptera; Formicidae. The record is from RefSeq and is a predicted model, not a curated record.